Molecule: small RNA, 199 nt
Filed under: Cervus elaphus hippelaphus
Lineage: Eukaryota; Metazoa; Chordata; Mammalia; Artiodactyla; Cervidae
Source: RNAcentral
GUAGUCCCAGCUACCUGUGGGGUCGCGGUGAGGUAGGAGAAUCUUGAGCCCAGGAGUUCUAGGCUGUAGUGCUCUAUGCCAGCAGUCGGGUGUCUGCACUAUGUUAGGCAUCAAUAUGGUGACCUCCAGGGAGUGGAGGAUCAUCAGGUUACCUAAAGAGAGGUGAACCAGUGCAGGUGAGAAAUGAAGCAUGUCAGAA